CGCAGCCGCGGUAAUUCCAGCUCCAAUAGCGUAUAUUAAAGUUGUUGCAGUUAAAAAGCUCGUAGUUGAAUUUCGGGAUCAGUUGGUCGGUCGUGCCUCGGUACGUACUGGUCAAAUUGAUUCCUACCUUCUGACGAACCACGAUGUCAUUAAUUUGGUGUCGCGGGAAAUCAGGACUGUUACUUUGAAAAAAUUAGAGUGUUUAAAGCAGGCUCGCGCUUGAAUACAUUAGCAUGGAAUAAUGAAAUAGGACGUUUGAUUCUAUUUUGUUGGUUUCUAGGAUCGACGUAAUGAUUAAUAGGGAUAGUUGGGGGCAUUAGUAUUCAAUUGUCAGAGGUGAAAUUCUUGGAUUUAUUGAAGACUAACUACUGCGAAAGCAUUUGCCAAGGAUGUUUUCAUUAAUCAAGAACGAAAGUUAGGGGAUCGAAGACGAUCAGAUACCGUCGUAGUCUUAACCAUAAACUAUGCCGACUAGGGAUCGGAUGAUGUUAAUUUUUUAAUGACUCAUUCGGCGCCUUAC
This 520-nucleotide unclassified non-coding RNA is filed under the name uncultured Glomus. Its description in RNAcentral is "SSU rRNA". It matches the Rfam family "Eukaryotic small subunit ribosomal RNA", at positions 569 to 1091 of the family's 1831-position model. The record is from RNAcentral. Lineage: Eukaryota; Fungi; Glomeromycota; Glomeromycetes; Glomerales; Glomeraceae.